RNAcentral lists this signal recognition particle RNA (97 nucleotides) under Pseudobacteriovorax antillogorgiicola. RNAcentral's name for it is "Bacterial small signal recognition particle RNA". It matches the Rfam family "Bacterial small signal recognition particle RNA". From Rfam's summary of the family: The signal recognition particle (SRP) is a universally conserved ribonucleoprotein involved in the co-translational targeting of proteins to membranes. Archaeal SRP consists of a 7S RNA and homologues of the eukaryotic SRP19 and SRP54 proteins. The record is from Rfam by way of RNAcentral. Lineage: Bacteria; Pseudomonadati; Bdellovibrionota; Oligoflexia; Oligoflexales; Pseudobacteriovoracaceae.
AGCUAGAUCCUAGAUGAUGCUUCUCCAUGAACCCCGCCAGGACCGGAAGGUAGCAACGGUAGUGGAUGUGAGUAGGUGUCUGGGUCAUCUAGCUAUC